GGGGUCGUCUUGGCUUCGACGGGAAUAACAGGGAUUUAAAUAGCAAGUCGCUUUAUCUACGUCACAGAUUAAAAUAAAAAUAACUGGAAACAGUAGAAACACAGCUGUUGCUUACGCCUAGUUUAAGGUGCAACAGGUUCCUCUAUUCUUUUGCUUACGAAGAAUAACAGGGACUCAUAACUAGUAAGCUAUAUUAUGUAGACGACUAUAAUACAUAAUGAAUACUAUAGUCUAGUAAUUAUUAAUAUUUGUUAGUUAAUAAAAUAAUUAUGAAACCAUUUAACUAACUAAACUUGUAGAAGUUUAAAUUACUUUAUUUUCGGACAGGGGUUCGAUUCCCCUCGACUCCACCA
RNAcentral lists this transfer-messenger RNA (353 nucleotides) under chicken gut metagenome. It matches the Rfam family "transfer-messenger RNA". From Rfam's summary of the family: Bacterial tmRNA, also known as 10Sa RNA or SsrA, is named for its dual tRNA and mRNA-like properties. The record is from RNAcentral.